This 292-nucleotide ribosomal RNA is filed under the name uncultured bacterium. Its description in RNAcentral is "partial 16S ribosomal RNA". It matches the Rfam family "Bacterial small subunit ribosomal RNA", at positions 505 to 796 of the family's 1533-position model. The record is from RNAcentral.
GUGUCAGCAGCCGCGGUAAUACAGAGGGUGCGAGCGUUGUUCGGAAUUAUUGGGCGUAAAGCGCGUGUAGGCGGCCAUGCAAGUCAGGUGUGAAAGCCCUCGGCUUAACCGAGGAAGUGCGCCUGAAACUGCUUGGCUUGAGUACCGGAGAGGGCGGUGGAAUUCCCGGUGUAGAGGUGAAAUUCGUAGAUAUCGGGAGGAACACCAGCGGCGAAGGCGACCGCCUGGACGGCUACUGACGCUGAGACGCGAAAGCGUGGGGAGCAAACAGGAUUAGAAACCCUGGUAGUCC